Molecule: long non-coding RNA, 521 nt
Filed under: Equus asinus (donkey)
Lineage: Eukaryota; Metazoa; Chordata; Mammalia; Perissodactyla; Equidae
Description: lncRNA (ENSEASG00005038027.1)
Source: RNAcentral
GGGGAAUGGAGGGGGGGAAGAGGAAUCCUCGCAAAAGACAGGCAGCACUGUCCCCAGGCUGCACGGGAGCUGUCCACUGCAGGGGCAGCGCUGUCCCCAGGCUGCACAGGCGCUGUCCACUGCAGGGGCAGCACUGUCCCCAGGCUGCAUGGGAGCUGUCCACUGCAGGAGCAGUGCAGUUCAGCAGAGACGGCGGAGCGUGGGCAUCAGGCACACUACAGCCUGCCUGCUCUUAAGAACACUGGAAAGCACUUCAGCACUACGCUUGGGGCCACUUAAAAUAGCGAAAUCACCAACAAAAAUGUGAAAAGCGUGGCACUAAACAGACCAUGAAAAGCACACUUGUUCAGUGUGAGCUGAAACAAGAAGGCAGAGCAUCGUGUGCUGGACUUCAGCCACACACGUGUGCACAGGAGGACUCAAAAUUUUCAGUGCUCUGCACAUGACUGAAAAGGACCGUGAAAGCGAGGUUGAGUCUUCAUUGGGAGUUAAAAUAAAUUUGAUGGAGUAGGCAAACCCGC